GACGAACCGUGCGAACGUUGUUCGGAUUCACUGGGCUUAAAGGGCGCGUAGGCGGGCGGUCAAGUCAGGGGUGAAAUCUUUCGGCUCAACCGGAAAAGUGCCUUUGAUACUGGCCGUCUCGAGGGAGGUAGGGGCAUGCGGAACUUCCGGUGGAGCGGUGAAAUGCGUAGAUAUCGGAAGGAACGCCGGUGGCGAAAGCGGCGUGCUGGACCUCUUCUGACGCUGAGGCGCGAAAGCCAGGGGAGCAAACAGG
This 253-nucleotide ribosomal RNA is filed under the name uncultured bacterium. RNAcentral's name for it is "partial 16S ribosomal RNA". It matches the Rfam family "Bacterial small subunit ribosomal RNA", at positions 524 to 776 of the family's 1533-position model. The record is from RNAcentral.